ACGCACGCUGGCGGCGUGCCUAAUACAUGCCAGUUGAGCGCUGAAGGUUGGUACUUGUACCAACUGGAUGAGCAGCGAACGGGUGAGUAACGCGUGGGGAAUCUGCCUUUGAGCGGGGGACAACAUUUGGAAACGAAUGCUAAUACCGCAUAAAAACUUUAAACACAAGUUUUAAGUUUGAAAGAUGCAAUUGCAUCACUCAAAGAUGAUCCCGCGUUGUAUUAGCUAGUUGGUGAGGUAAAGGCUCACCAAGGCGAUGAUACAUAGCCGACCUGAGAGGGUGAUCGGCCACAUUGGGACUGAGACACGGCCCAAACUCCUACGGGAGGCAGCAGUAGGGAAUCUUCGGCAAUGGACGAAAGUCUGACCGAGCAACGCCGCGUGAGUGAAGAAGGGUUUCGGAUCGUAAAACUCUGUUGGUAGAGAAGAACGUUGGUGAGAGUGGAAAGCUCAUCAAGUGACGGUAACUACCCAGAAAGGGACGGCUAACUACGUG
Molecule: ribosomal RNA, 496 nt
Filed under: uncultured bacterium
Lineage: Bacteria
Description: partial 16S ribosomal RNA
Rfam family: Bacterial small subunit ribosomal RNA
Source: RNAcentral